RNAcentral lists this ribosomal RNA (697 nucleotides) under uncultured bacterium. Its description in RNAcentral is "bacterial SSU rRNA". It matches the Rfam family "Bacterial small subunit ribosomal RNA", at positions 68 to 755 of the family's 1533-position model. The record is from RNAcentral.
GGCAUCGGGAAGAAAGCUUGCUUUCUUUGCCGGCGACCGGCGCACGGGUGAGUAACACGUAUCCAACCUGCCCUUUACUCGGGGAUAGCCUUUCGAAAGAAAGAUUAAUACCCGAUGGGAUAAUUAUUCCGCAUGGUUUGAUUAUUAAAGGAUUCCGGUAAAGGAUGGGGAUGCGUUCCAUUAGGUUGUUGGUGAGGUAACGGCUCACCAAGCCUUCGAUGGAUAGGGGUUCUGAGAGGAAGGUCCCCCACAUUGGAACUGAGACACGGUCCAAACUCCUACGGGAGGCAGCAGUGAGGAAUAUUGGUCAAUGGGCGCUAGCCUGAACCAGCCAAGUAGCGUGAAGGAUGAAGGCUCUAUGGGUCGUAAACUUCUUUUAUAUAAGAAUAAAGUGCAGUAUGUAUACUGUUUUGUAUGUAUUAUAUGAAUAAGGAUCGGCUAACUCCGUGCCAGCAGCCGCGGUAAUACGGAGGAUCCGAGCGUUAUCCGGAUUUAUUGGGUUUAAAGGGAGCGUAGGUGGACUGGUAAGUCAGUUGUGAAAGUUUGCGGCUCAACCGUAAAAUUGCAGUUGAUACUGUCAGUCUUGAGUACAGUAGAGGUGGGUGGAAUUCGUGGUGUAGCGGUGAAAUGCUUAGAUAUCACGAAGAACUCCGAUUGCGAAGGCAGCUCACUGGACUGCAACUGACACUGAUGCUCG